Long non-coding RNA from Tachysurus fulvidraco (yellow catfish), 842 nucleotides. RefSeq lists it as uncharacterized. The record is from RefSeq and is a predicted model, not a curated record. The transcript has 3 exons. Lineage: Eukaryota; Metazoa; Chordata; Actinopteri; Siluriformes; Bagridae.
AUUUCUGGAGAAAUAAAAUGAGAAGAAAAAGAGUUCAGAUUAGACGAGUGAAUAAACGAGUGAAUUCUUUGUUUUCUUUCUCUUUAUGUAAAGAACUCUCAUCUGUCUGGAUUUUAAUGUCUUUGUCUGUUUCUUAUUAAUGCUUCACAUUUUGAGAUUUGAACCUAAGAAGGUGGAGGAGCCUCAGAAGGUCAGAGUCACCGAACACCUGAGUGUCAAAGUGAGAUCAUCUGGAACAUCUGGAAUAGAUGAGCUCCUGUUUCUUAUGUCUGCGAACAGACUUGACGAUGACCAUGGAGAGGAUCACCAGAGCCAGCAUCCCUCCUAUAGAUGCUCCGACUGCCACUGCGAUGGUGGAGUCUCUGGGAGGAGGCACUGCACACACAACCACCAGGAGGUUCAUCAGGAUCGUUAAGAACACACACGUGUGAUGGAGGCAUCGUGGACGUCAUUCAAACACAAAAGGGAAGUAGGAUCAUCUCUGGACCCCAGAAUAGGACCAAGUGAAAGUGAGUGAGAGAUUUUAAUCUUAUUUUCUUUUUUAAAUAAACACCAUUUGUUAAUAUUGAGUAAGAACUCGUCUGCAUCACAUGAUCACAUCCUGCACCGUCCGGGCUCGAGGGUCCUCCAGAGAGCUCGUGUUUGUGCAAACUAAACCGGAUUUAUUCUGGAAAACCAAAUAUGAUUCUUUUGCUUGCUGCUAUUUUCAUUUUUAUUCCUCCGUCUAAAAGAGCUUCACUUCAUGUUAACUGUAGGUUCUCCAUUUAAUAGCAGAAUUGUGGAACUACUUUUGCCUUAUGAAAGUUGUUCCUGAUGUCUCAGUGUUCACACUUACACUCAGU